This is a long non-coding RNA of Scatophagus argus, 265 nucleotides long. RefSeq lists it as uncharacterized. NCBI's taxonomy places the organism in Eukaryota, Metazoa, Chordata, Actinopteri, Scatophagidae. The record is from RefSeq and is a predicted model, not a curated record. The transcript is spliced from 2 exons.
CGCCGGCGAGGCUGCGCACCGACAGCGUGUCGUCUACGUCUUCGCAGCCCCGCGGAUCGAUGCUGAACACCACGUGAGUCUGCCGGAGGUCCCGUCGCUCUGCUACCUGGGCGGGAUCCAUCCUCCACGGCCUCUCAGGCUUCUGUGUUGGGAUCCGAGUGCAGAAACACCCAGUGGAAGAGCUGGUGACCAGUCUGUAUUGAGUACAUGAAUACAGAUGUUAGCUGAAGCGUUAACUGAUGUCAGCAGCCUGAUCACCUGCAUC